RNAcentral lists this long non-coding RNA (321 nucleotides) under Setaria viridis. Its description in RNAcentral is "long non-coding RNA (SVIR_LNC009613)". Lineage: Eukaryota; Viridiplantae; Streptophyta; Magnoliopsida; Poales; Poaceae. The record is from RNAcentral.
GAGGAUUCCUCAAAUCCUUGAUCCAGUGCAAUGCCUACACAUAGCUGCAGCUUGGGCAUAAAUUUAGCCUCCAGGCGCAAUGCGUUCCCAAGGGAAGCCUGCACAGAACGUAUGUCAUAUUCACUUUUACGAAUCAAGACAACUUGGCCUUGUGCGGCACAUCCCGUGAAGAAAUCCUCAUGAGCUAGAAGAUACCGAAUUUUAAGAAUCAUGCCGAAAAUAAAAUCAAGGAUGGGUUAUUUAAUACCCUGACCCUCUAUGUUCUGAACUCUUAAAGUUCACAUGGUUUUUCGUCUCUGAAUGUUUUCAGAAACCCACUCC